This is a small nuclear RNA of Ochotona curzoniae (black-lipped pika), 118 nucleotides long. RefSeq annotates it as U5 spliceosomal RNA. The transcript has a single exon. NCBI's taxonomy places the organism in Eukaryota, Metazoa, Chordata, Mammalia, Lagomorpha, Ochotonidae. The record is from RefSeq and is a predicted model, not a curated record.
AGGUCUUUAAUUAAGACUAGACCAGGUGAGAGCGUAUAAAUCUUUCGCCUUUUACUAAAGAUUUCCGCGGAGAAAACUUUAGACCAGGUUCAAGUUUCUCCCGGCCAGGCCACAGGCG